AACGAACGCUGGCGGCAUGCCUAACACAUGCAAGUCGAACGAUUGCCUUCGGGUGAUAGUGGCGCACGGGUGCGUAACGCGUGGGAAUCUGCCCUUAGGUUCGGAUUAACAGUUGGAAACGGCGGCUAUUACCGGUGGUUAUCCCGGGAUCAAAGAUUUUUCGCCUGAGGAUGAGCCCGCGUUGGAUUAGGUAGUUGGUGGGGUAAAGGCCUACCAAGCCGACGAUCCAUAGCUGGUCUGAGAGGAUGAUCAGCCACACUGGGACUGAGACACGGCCCAGACUCCUACGGGAGGCAGCAGUGGGGAAUAUUGGACAAUGGGCGCAAGCCUGAUCCAGCAAUGCCGCGUGAGUGAUGAAGGCCCUAGGGUUGUAAAGCUCUUUUACCCGGGAAGAUAAUGACUGUACCGGGAGAAUAAGCCCCGGCUAACUCCGUG
This 435-nucleotide ribosomal RNA is filed under the name uncultured bacterium. RNAcentral's name for it is "partial 16S ribosomal RNA". It matches the Rfam family "Bacterial small subunit ribosomal RNA", at positions 29 to 507 of the family's 1533-position model. The record is from RNAcentral.